ACAAAGCUGCAAAGAAAAAGUUCACUAAGACUAACCAACAGACUAACCACAAAGGUCAGAUGAAGUAAUGUCUAAUUCACCAAUCCUGAGCUUAACUUUUGCAAUAUGCAUGAACUUAUUACUGAUUGUAUAAAUGAGAUGCUGUAACAUCUAAUAAAUGAGGCUUGUUGACCAUGAUAGCAUGAGACUUGUCUCCCGCGGUUACUUCCAACACCAAUGGGAGAUGCAAGGCAGCGCCCGAGGAGAGCGGGCUCAGCUGGAGCUGGGAAAUGGCAGCACGCACCUGCGCCCUGCGGAGCAGGAGGGAGAGCUCCCAUCUGCUGGACCUGGGAUAAGCGUUGUGGAGCCAUUUCAUGAGAGGAGGAAGACAAAACGGAGGGGUGAGAGGAGCAGAAGUAAAGCAGAUACCCACGUGCAAUAGAUGGGAAAAGCCUGACGCACGGAACAAAUGGCAGCAGCUCCCAAACAGCCCUUGAAGUCCCGACGAUGCGCACACACAGCUGCAGCUCAGUGAGCUGCUGUACUGCGGGAAUGCCACCGAGCGCUCCGGCGUCAUUCCGUACCAACGACUUUCCCAAAUAAAUCUGGUUGCUGGUUUAUAUUAAUGAACUGU
RNAcentral lists this long non-coding RNA (613 nucleotides) under Coturnix japonica (Japanese quail). RNAcentral describes it as "lncRNA (ENSCJPG00005004822.1)". The record is from RNAcentral. Lineage: Eukaryota; Metazoa; Chordata; Aves; Galliformes; Phasianidae.